Molecule: long non-coding RNA, 649 nt
Organism: Trichomycterus rosablanca
Lineage: Eukaryota; Metazoa; Chordata; Actinopteri; Siluriformes; Trichomycteridae
Exons: 3
Source: RefSeq, a predicted model, not a curated record
CUCUGCUGCAGUUGCGAAACUCUUGCUGCAGUUGCGAAUUUUGACCCUGUUUUGACGCCUAAUUGAUGGACCAAUAGGAAAGCUUUAAGCUGGACCAAUCAGAUUGCGAGGUUUGUUUAACUAAUCAGAACACUGAUUUGUUGCUGUCACUCAAUUUCGGCACGCUGUUGGAACACGCCUCCCAAUCUCAGUCAUGGAGCUUCCAGCCAGAGGUACAAUGGAGAGUCAGGUGAUGAUAGGAAGAGAAGUCUUGCAAAGACUACAGUCGCGGUUGGAGCAGGCUUUUCAGAGGCAACCCCUGGAUCUAGACUAUUUAGAGUUUGUGUGUGUCAGUGAGAUGACACUCAUAAGAUCACUUGCUCCUUAUGUCACAUUCCCCCAAGAGGUGCUUGAAGGGCUUCACAAUCUUAUUACACUCAUCAACACUGAGCUAGAUCAAAGAAGAACCACCAUUUUGGUUGAUGCAGUUGAUGGAGCAAGAGGACGUCCAAAGCUAUGUGUUUCCAAAGACCACCUUGAUUGGUCUGGCUGUCCCAAAUAUAUGUAAAUUACUUGGGGUGUCACAGAAGACAAUUCGUCGUCGGAUGACCGAAUGGAACCUCUCAGUGAGAGACUCUUACAGCCAAGUAUCUGAUGAGGAACUGGACAG